This 795-nucleotide long non-coding RNA is filed under the name Rattus norvegicus (Norway rat). Its description in RNAcentral is "long non-coding RNA NONRATT032516". The record is from RNAcentral. Lineage: Eukaryota; Metazoa; Chordata; Mammalia; Rodentia; Muridae.
CUCCCUGUGGGGCUACAGUAAUUCUGAGUUCCUUCACAGCCACCUCCUGUCCCUGUGUCUUCUCCCUGAGUUCCCCCAGCACCUUCUACUUCUCGAUCAACCUCUCACUUCAAAGUGCUUGGUUCUAGAUCUCUUUGGGGGCUUCCAACUUAAGACUGUACACUUCCCACAACAGAAGUCUUAGUAUAGUUUUACCAAGUUCAUCGUGGACCCUAAGUUGACAAGACACAUUUUGCCAAACUCCUGGACAAACAUCCAGAGCUAAGCCCAUCAUGAAUUCAUAUCUGUUAAUGUGUAGCUCUUAGGCGGGGAUGAUCUUGGGCCAUAGCUACCUGUUCCCUCCCUGAUUCUUCCUCUUGCAAUUCAGGAUACCCAGGUCGUAUUGGAGGACGGAACGACCAGGAACUUGGCAUGGUAUGCCAGCCCGCUGUGAGUGUAUGCUUUCUGAGCAUGGAUAGCCCCAGUGACCCCUCUCACCUGCUGUAUCUCCUUUGGUGGGGUGGGCAGAAGCCCUCGUCUGGCCAUCUGUGGCAGUGUCUCUGCCGAGGCUGAUGCUCCACAGACCCCUGGAAUCUCCACAUUCACUGACGUCUUAGGUGUGUGUGGCCUGUACAGCUUGCCUUCGUCUGGCCCCAGCUGUUCUCUUUCUCCUCUCAUGGGAUACUCCCCACCCUCAAGAGCCAGCCUUGCUAGCUGUGUUUUCCUCAGGUAAGACUAUGGAGUUUCCAAUCCUGCCCAGUCUCUACCUGCACCCCCUUUCUACACAGUUUAGGCCUAUACACCCCUGAACAUGGC